Molecule: ribosomal RNA, 253 nt
Filed under: uncultured bacterium
Lineage: Bacteria
Description: partial 16S ribosomal RNA
Rfam family: Bacterial small subunit ribosomal RNA
Source: RNAcentral
UACGUAGGGAGCAAGCGUUGUCCGGAAUCAUUGGGCGUAAAGCGCGCGUAGGUGGCCUCAUAAGUCUGCUGUGAAAGUCAAAGGCUCAACCUUUGAAAGCCGGUGGAUACUGUGAGGCUAGAGUACGGAAGAGGCGAGUGGAAUUCCUGGUGUAGCGGUGAAAUGCGCAGAUAUCAGGAGGAACACCAAUAGCGAAGGCAGCUCGCUGGGACGUUACUGACACUGAGACGCGAAAGCGUGGGGAGCGAACAGG